AGCGAACGUUAGCGGCGAGCUUAACACAUGCAAGUCGCACGAGAACCUUCUUCGGAAGGCGUAAAGUGGCGCACGGGUGCGUAACACGUAGGUAAUCUGCCCUUCGGCGGGGGAUAACGUUCCGAAAGGAACGCUAAUACCGCAUAAGACCACGACCUCUGCGGAGGUUGAGGUCAAAGCUGGCCUCUUCUUGAAAGCUAGCACCGAAGAAUGAGCCUGCGGCCCAUCAGCUAGUUGGUGAGGUAAUGGCUCACCAAGGCAAAGACGGGUAGCUGGUCUGAGAGGAUGAUCAGCCACACUGGCACUGAAACACGGGCCAGACUCCUACGGGAGGCAGCAGUGGGGAAUAUUGGACAAUGGGCGCAAGCCUGAUCCAGCCACGCCGCGUGAGUGAUGAAGGCCUCGGUUGUAAGACUCUGUGGACGAGACGAAAAAGUAGGAGGCGAAUAGGACGUCUGCUCUU
RNAcentral lists this ribosomal RNA (463 nucleotides) under uncultured bacterium. RNAcentral describes it as "bacterial SSU rRNA". It matches the Rfam family "Bacterial small subunit ribosomal RNA", at positions 29 to 480 of the family's 1533-position model. The record is from RNAcentral.